Molecule: long non-coding RNA, 279 nt
Filed under: Panax ginseng (ginseng)
Lineage: Eukaryota; Viridiplantae; Streptophyta; Magnoliopsida; Apiales; Araliaceae
Description: long non-coding RNA (PGIN_LNC004819)
Source: RNAcentral
CUAGCUAUAUAUAUAUUUUUUUCUCAAGUGUGAAAGCGGAAGGUCCUGCACAUAAAAAAUAUUCAACUUCAGAGACCUUUUAACGCCUUUGAUUACGUGGUCAAGACCCGGUACUACGGGUAUGAGAUGUGGCAGAAAAUACCCAGAAAUGGGUGUAGAAUCAACUCGCAGAAAUGCCCGGUCAAAGAAGGGCUUGCUAGAACUCUGAAGAAAGGCUUAAAGCAGAGCUUUCUCACUGACUCAGGAAAGGUUCAAUCAUCAGAAAUGGCCCUAAUGAAU